UCUCCUUUUCCUUGGCACUUUCUCGGGUAGGGCCGCGGCGCUCAGCGGCUGGAGGUCGGACGGAAUUCGGAGGAAACCUACAGAGUCUCGGCCUUGCCCAGCGGUGGCGUCGGUGCUCCAGGCCGAUCUCCGAGCCAGCAGAAAAGCCACAGAGGGCAGCGGAUGCGGCAGCGGGCGGCAGAACACAGGGAGAAACACCCCGCGCAAUACGCGGCAGCUGAUGCGACUUCCAUCCUGGAGGGAAAAGACGUUCCCUAGUCGGCUCGACGCUUCAACACCAUCGAUAGGAGCCAGCCCACGGCCUCGGCGGUGGUUUUCUGAGUGACAGAAGGUUGAAGAACCCCUGAGCAACGCGACACCGGAAGGGCUAGGUAGGUUGGCUGGUGCGGUGGAAGCGAAGCCCAAAAUGGCCGCAGGGCCCGCGCGCCGGCAGGACACCUCCCAGCCGCCGGAAGAGACGCAGGACUGCUGGGCGUCUACGCCACUAGCGCCGCGCCGCCCAACGCCUCUCGCAAAGCCCCGGGGGGCGGGGCUUUCCGCCCACUUCCGUGUGGCCGCCGAUUGGUCGCGCCGGAUUUCCCUGUCGGCUUCCUUACUCGAGGUAGCGCCGCACGGUAGCGCGAGGUUGCAUCAGCCGGCGGGAUGCAGGCAUGCGCAGUUUCUGUGUGGUCUCUUAGGCGACCGCCCCAACAGCCCUCUAGGCUAAAGGGCUUGGGUAGGAAAGGGGUUUUCAAGAUAACCCGAGAAUUUCCCGGAGGCGUUUUGAUGGCCUAAUACACACUAACGUGCGUACAGUCAUCGCCUCGUAUGAAAUGGGGAUUAGUUCCAGGACGCCGUAGACACCAGAAUCGGCAGAUUCUGGUCAAGUCCCUUAUGUAAAAUGGUGUAGUGUUUGCAUAUAACCUACAUACACCUUCCCAGAUACUUUAAAUCAUCCCCUAGAUUAAGUAAAUUACCUAAUACAAUGCAAGUGCUAUGGAA
Non-coding RNA from Chlorocebus sabaeus (green monkey), 981 nucleotides. Lineage: Eukaryota; Metazoa; Chordata; Mammalia; Primates; Cercopithecidae. The record is from RefSeq and is a predicted model, not a curated record.